This 253-nucleotide ribosomal RNA is filed under the name uncultured bacterium. Its description in RNAcentral is "partial 16S ribosomal RNA". It matches the Rfam family "Bacterial small subunit ribosomal RNA", at positions 524 to 776 of the family's 1533-position model. The record is from RNAcentral.
UACGUAGGGGGCUAGCGUUGUCCGGAAUCAUUGGGCGUAAAGCGCGCGUAGGCGGCCCGGUAAGUCCGCUGUAAAAGUCAAAGGCUCAACCUUUGAAUGUCAGUGGAUACUGCCGGGCUAGAGUCCGGAAGAGGCGAGUGGAACUCCUGGUGUAGCGGUGGAAUGCGCAGAUAUCAGGAAGAACACCAACGGCGAAGGCAGCUCGCUGGGACGGUACUGACGCUGGGGCGCGAAAGCGUGGGGAGCGAACAGG